This 74-nucleotide transfer RNA is filed under the name Prevotella sp. Its description in RNAcentral is "tRNA-Gly". It matches the Rfam family "tRNA". From Rfam's summary of the family: Transfer RNA (tRNA) molecules are approximately 80 nucleotides in length. Their secondary structure includes four short double-helical elements and three loops (D, anti-codon, and T loops). RNAcentral also lists the same sequence under 3 other names. Lineage: Bacteria; Pseudomonadati; Bacteroidota; Bacteroidia; Bacteroidales; Prevotellaceae. The record is from RNAcentral.
GCGGGUGUAGUUCAAUGGUAGAACUCCAGCCUUCCAAGCUGAUAGCGUCGGUUCGAUUCCGAUCACCCGCUCCA